UUUCCGUAGGUGGACCUGCGGAAGGAUCAUUACAGAGUUCAUGCCCUCACGGGUAGAUCUCCCACCCUUGAAUAUUUAUACCUUAGUUGCUUUGGCAGGCCGUGGAAACACCAUGGGCUCCGGCUUAUGCGUGCCUGCCAGAGGAAACAAACUCUGUUUUUAGUGAUGUCUGAGUACUAUAUAAUAGUUAAAACUUUCAACAACGGAUCUCUUGGUUCUG
Molecule: unclassified non-coding RNA, 220 nt
Filed under: plant metagenome
Description: partial contains small subunit ribosomal RNA, internal transcribed spacer 1, and 5.8S ribosomal RNA
Source: RNAcentral